This 68-nucleotide transfer RNA is filed under the name unidentified. Its description in RNAcentral is "Strongylium pinfaense tRNA-Ser". The record is from RNAcentral.
AACUAAUGAACUUGAACAAGUAUGUAUUUUGAAAAUACAUGAAAGAGAAAAUAACCCUCUAUUAGUUU